AUAUCUAAAAGCUGUGCAGAACGUUGUGGAUUGUUGAGGCUAUUAGAUACACGCUAUAAGGGCAUUGCUCAUGGAGUUGGUCAAUCAGAGAUACUAGGUCGUAUUCAUGUUGCUCCAAUUAAGAUAGGGCAAAUAUUUUACCCUUGUUCUUUCGUGGUACUGGAUUCUCCCAAUAUGGAAUUUCUCUUU
Molecule: non-coding RNA, 189 nt
Organism: Nicotiana tabacum (common tobacco)
Lineage: Eukaryota; Viridiplantae; Streptophyta; Magnoliopsida; Solanales; Solanaceae
Source: RefSeq, a predicted model, not a curated record